Molecule: ribosomal RNA, 425 nt
Filed under: uncultured cyanobacterium
Lineage: Bacteria; Bacillati; Cyanobacteriota
Description: bacterial SSU rRNA
Rfam family: Bacterial small subunit ribosomal RNA
Source: RNAcentral
GGGAAUUUUCCGCAAUGGGCGAAAGCCUGACGGAGCAAUACCGCGUGAGGGAUGACGGCCUAUGGGUUGUAAACCUCUUUUUUCAGGGAGGAAUAAAUGACGUGUACCUGAAGAAUAAGCACCGGCUAACUCCGUGCCAGCAGCCGCGGUAAGACGGAGGAUGCAAGUGUUAUCCGGAAUCACUGGGCGUAAAGCGUCUGUAGGUGGUUUGAUAAGUCAACUGUUAAAUCUUGAGGCUCAACCUCAAAAUGGCAGUCGAAACUAUUAGACUAGAGUAUAGUAGGGGUAAAGGGAAUUUCCAGUGGAGCGGUGAAAUGCGUAGAGAUUGGAAAGAACACCGAUGGCGAAGGCACUUUACUGGGCUAUUACUAACACUCAGAGACGAAAGCUAGGGUAGCAAAUGGGAUUAGAUACCCCAGUAGUCA